GAUGGACGCUGGCGGCGUGCCUAAUACAUGCAAGUCGAGCGAACAGACGAGGAGCUUGCUCCUCUGACGUUAGCGGCGGACGGGUGAGUAACACGUGGAUAACCUACCUAUAAGACUGGGAUAACUUCGGGAAACCGGAGCUAAUACCGGAUAAUUUAUUGAACCGCAUGGUUCAAUAGUGAAAGACGGUUUUGCUGUCACUUAUAGAUGGAUCCGCGCCGCAUUAGCUAGUUGGUAAGGUAACGGCUUACCAAGGCGACGAUGCGUAGCCGACCUGAGAGGGUGAUCGGCCACACUGGAACUGAGACACGGUCCAGACUCCUACGGGAGGCAGCAGUAGGGAAUCUUCCGCAAUGGGCGAAAGCCUGACGGAGCAACGCCGCGUGAGUGAUGAAGGUCUUCGGAUCGUAAAACUCUGUUAUUAGGGAAGAACAAAUGUGUAAGUAACUAUGCACGUCUUGACGGUACCUAAUCAGAAAGCCACGGCUAACUACGUG
RNAcentral lists this ribosomal RNA (497 nucleotides) under uncultured bacterium. Its description in RNAcentral is "partial 16S ribosomal RNA". It matches the Rfam family "Bacterial small subunit ribosomal RNA", at positions 28 to 507 of the family's 1533-position model. The record is from RNAcentral.